UGGGGAAUUUUCCGCAAUGGGCGAAAGCCUGACGGAGCAAUGCCGCGUGAGUGACGAAGGCCUUCGGGUUGUAAAGCUCUGUCUUCAGGGGCGAAGAAGUGACGGUACCUGAGGAGGAAGCCACGGCUAACUACGUGCCAGCAGCCGCGGUAAUACGUAGGUGGCGAGCGUUGUCCGGAAUUACUGGGCGUAAAGGGCGUGUAGGUGGACGGACAAGUCGGAUGUGAAAUACCCGGGCUCAACUUGGGAACUGCAUCCGAAACGGUCGGUCUUGAGUGCAGGAGAGGGCAGUGGAAUUCCCAGUGUAGCGGUGAAAUGCGUAGAGAUUGGGAGGAACACCAGUGGCGAAGGCGGCUGCCUGGACUGCAACUGACACUGAGGCGCGAAAGCGUGGGGAGCAAACAGGAUUAGAUACCCUGGUAGUCCACGCCGUAAACGAUGGGUACUAGGUGUAGGGGGUAUCGACCCCCCCUGUGCCGGAGUUAACACAAUAAGUACCCCGCCU
This 505-nucleotide ribosomal RNA is filed under the name uncultured bacterium. Its description in RNAcentral is "bacterial SSU rRNA". It matches the Rfam family "Bacterial small subunit ribosomal RNA", at positions 355 to 874 of the family's 1533-position model. The record is from RNAcentral.